Molecule: long non-coding RNA, 5345 nt
Filed under: Triticum aestivum (bread wheat)
Lineage: Eukaryota; Viridiplantae; Streptophyta; Magnoliopsida; Poales; Poaceae
Description: long non-coding RNA (TAES_LNC006986)
Source: RNAcentral
UUGUUUUUGGAAAGUGUGAACUGACUUCAAAUCUAUCAAAUCAGAAAUAGCUAUAUCAAAAACAUUGAACAAUAGAAAUAUAGAUCUAUAUCUCUCUAUAAAAAGAUCUAUCCACUGCAUUACAUACCAAGUUCCAUUUUCGAACCAAACAUGGACAGAUCUUAUGUGAGAAGACACCACAAUCUGCAGUUAUCAAAGUCUAAAAUCUACAGAGCAAACUUGAGAUCUCCAACAUAGGUCAUUGCCAAAUUUACACCAGCUAGAGACAACACCAAGAAUCAUCGAAGUUAAUUAUGAUAACCAAAUUUGAGAGCCCCCGUCGUCGCAUGUUCCUCCAGUGGUUGCCAAAGUCACAUAUAGUACCAUGAGUUCCAUCGCCAGAGGAGAAUGAACUGCACGAUGCUAUAAAGGAAUAAAGGAGUGUCUCUUAGAUGAUCAUGCUAAAAUAUCAUGUGGCAAUCCCAACGUCGUACGCUACAAACACUAUGUUGAAUGCCUUAGUUUUCUACAUAAAUCAUACCCAUAUAAUCAUUUGCGAAAAAUGUACAAAUGUGACAAGCUCAAAUGACAGAAGGAUGUGUCAACUAAAGAAAUGGAUAUAUAAAAAGAAGGCAAUGCUCCAAAAGGGGAUUCUGGGAAUAGUUGCUCUUUACUAAUCUUCAUGGUUUCAAAUUGACCUACUGCUUUAAUAAAAAAGGUAUCGAUUAAAUAUCCCCUGGGCGGAGAAUGUCAUUGUCAUUAUGCGGCAAGAAGAUCAUGUUCCUUGUAGGUUGCAACAACAUAUUUGCAUAGCUAUGCUAAUAAUUCAGCAAAAAAUAUAUAAUCCUAUUCCUACAUGCUCGUGUUAGUAUCCUAAUAGUAGAGGGGGGGAUUAGUUAGGAUUGGUUCAAAAAUACCUUGGCUAAUCAUGCAACUUUUCUCCAUGAACCAAAACUCCAACCCAUGCAAGUGUAACAUACUUGCAAGCUCCUCAUGCAGAAGUUAUUAGUAAAAUAAGCAAGCAGUAUUACCGUUGCGAUAAGUUGAAAUGAACCUGGGAAAACUGAUAGAGCAUGUUCGUCCAUGUAACAUGAAGGUUACGGCAGAAUACAAGAAGCCUGAGCAUACAGCUGAAAUGCUCUUCGAAUGUUGUUGGUCCCAUGAACCAUGAAAAAAUUCAUCUACAGACAUUUUAUGCCAGAACCACAUGGUUCAUGGAACUGGGUAUAUGAUAUGUAGUAUACGGAGUGGGUAUAUGAUAUUUAACAAAGAUCUGCAUAGUAUACUACACAUCAUAUGCCGAACAUCCAGAUCUCUGCUAAAUAUGAUUGAUAUAGAACUACAAAAAUACGUGUCCUCGUAGCAACACACAAUCAGCCAAAUGUUUCAUAAAAAGCACUAUCAGUGUUUUUUACUGUUAAAUCAGUGUUGUUUAUUUUCCUCCACCAUCUCCGUCUCACAAUCCUCCAAACCUCCCAUACCCGCACUUCUAACACAUAAUUAUGCAGCUAUGUUAACACGAUAUCACGAUUCAAGUAGUGGUAAAAAAUUGUAAGUGUAAGGCACAUCUUAAUUCUCCUUCUCUGGCUCCCUUCUCCUUGAAUCAUUUUCUCCCUUGAGCUCCUCCAUAUUAAAUUUUAGUAACAAGGUGGUUUAAUGCAUAAGCAAGCAGGUAAAUUUUAGUACGACAAAAAUGAGUAUCUUGACAAAGUUUUAGUAGAAAUCCAAUUUUAGUAUAAGGGGAUAUUUUAGUAGCUUCAGAAAAAAUUCACAACAAGGAAUUUUGGUAGCUUCAUAGAAGUUUUAGUAUGAAUAUGAAAUACAAGUAGUUGUCCUGAUUCCUGAAAGAUAAGCAAUCAUUUAUGAGAGCUGAAUAAACUAUGUCAUUGGCAUAACAUCGUUACCUGCAAAGUAACUCAAGCAGUAACAUCAUUGUUAAUCCUAGUAUUAAAGAAUCACGAAUGCAUCAAGCUUAGUAAUGCUGAUUGUAGUAUCAGGAUGCAAAAUGUUACUAACCUCUUCUGAUUUUUUAAACAUGUAUACAACUACAUGCCUUUAGUGUUUUCCGUUGACAACUCAAAGAAAGAAUCAAAAGUCUAAAAGUCAGAACAGGAAACGUCACAUUAUAUUCACAAAACUUAUUGUUUGCUUGUUGUUUAAUAAGCCAAAUCCGAUCAAAUGUGAUGAUCUGCUAGAAACAUAGGACCCAUAUCCAAAAUACUACAAAACUAAAAAUGAUUGUCCCCCGAAUAAUGAUUGCACAAUGCAAAUAACGAAUACCUAACUGAACUAUACAAAACCACAUCCCAAUUCCUAAAUUUCCAGCAGUGCUUUCAUUCCAGCAACUAAAAUAAACCAUGAAAAGGAUUACAGUCAUUAAAAAAAUAGAUCAAUUAUGGUGAACUAAAUCAUGAACGAUUACUAAAAUCUGAAGUGCUGCUAAAAUUCACUUCCUCUCCUGAAAUUAACAAAAUAAAAGAUAUGAUAAAUUCCUCGAUCCAAUACAGGGAAGGAACAUAUCUAUACACCUACUUCUCACACAUCUUUUCUCCAAACUACUUCAGAACUGAGAGUUGUACACCGAUACGGUGAGAAGGCAAACAAAAAGCUUCUACAUUCCAGUCCUAGGACAUCAUCGAAGCAAGAGAAACAUCAAGUAACAAUCAACCAUAGAUUGAAUUCUAAAACAAUAAUGUGAAAGAAUGAAUUAGAACCACAGUUGUAGUAUCUGGUAACUGUAACAAACUACCAGUCCUGGAAGUACACAGAUAUAUCGUCUUGCUAAUUUUAGGCUAACAAUCUCUUCUUAAGGUUGCAAAGUUUGAUAUGCGCUUAACUGUUUAACUGAUGAAUGUAAUCAUUGUCUGAUUUUGCGUAGCCAUGCAAACCAAUUAAUUGUUUUUAAAUUAAAUCUCACCAUUACAUUUGAUUGUAGAUCUAACCAAGGGUGUGGGGUGCAUGAGCAGUCUAUUAAUCUUGACAUAAACUAAAAAGUGAUUACAUUGACAUGAUGCAGUUCUUUGGUCUUGAUAGUUAGCUGAUAUAAGUGACAUAAUAAGUCAGGAAUUUCACACAACGAAGGUGCCCGAUCGAUAUACAUAUUCUAAAUGCCCUACAGACCUCGAGCAUGUUAGGAACACCUGGGCAUGCUUCCUUUGAAAGCUAGAAAAACAUCUACGUAACAUAGCACAAGUAAAUGAAUAACUUUUGAACCAUGAUUCGGGAGAGCUCUUGAAACUAUUAAAUAGGUAUAAACGGGAAGGAUUGGAUGAGCAUUACAAAUUCCAAGAGUCAGACCAUUGUCACUAAUAUUAGCUGAUAUGAGUACAGGGGGAUGCAACUGAAGAAUAGUAGAUUCGUCAGAGAUAAGUAGAGGGAAUGCAACUGUAGAAUAACAAUCAAUCCAGUAGUUAAUUUUUCUUUAAAUGAAUACAUUUUGAUGGACUCAAAAUCCUCUUGCGUUCUGACGCUAUGCAGCCAUUGAUUUAGAGUUCAUUUUUUUUGUGGGAUGAACAAAAUAAACUUGGUGGCAGACUAAAACUUGUGGCGUCAUGGUACAUCCCUCUUAAUAGUUUACACCUCUUCUCAAAUUAUCAAAUUAAACAAUACUCGUGCCUGGCCUCAGAAACCAGGUUCAGCAACAAUUCCCUUCUUUUAUGUGUAGGUAUACACAAUACUCGUUAUUUGUAAGGUUUGCGGCAGGUCACUGUUGAGGAGAACCGACAAGAGAUUCAAGGAUAAUGUAGCGGAUAGCUUUGAACUACAGUUUUUGUGGUUACUAUUUCUCUGGUGAUGAUUCUAGCAGAUAACUUGUUGGCAUAUUUCCACUAGCAUCUUUGGGAUCUAAGUGUACUUCAGAUUACCGUUGUAUAGUUUACUUCUCUGAACAAUUCAACUCCACUUCACUGUUGUAUAUAGUUUACUUCUCUGGCCCGCUAAAAGAGAUAUUUGGUUCAUUAGCCCGUCUGAAUAUGUAGUGGCCAUCGAAUUGACAUAGCAGAGGUUGAGUGUUGUACUUCUAUUAGCAAAGAUCAUAUACGGUUCUUAUUUUCAUAUGAUUUGCUCGUCAGCUAGUAAGACAUUGUCUUGGAAGAUACAAGCAGCCAAAACAUGUAGACAACACCAGAUUUUAAGAUACCCUUCUCAUCGGAGCUCCUUCAGUUCAGAGGAUCUAAGGUAUAGGUAAUAGAUCUCACCUGAAUCAGCAAGAUGAGUACCUCUGAAUGGAACCACUGGUGUACUACUCGAUGGGGGUUGUGAGCUGAUUGUAGUUCUAUUGCUUCAGAGUUGUGAAUACGCAGGUUGCACUAUCCAUACAUACCUAUUAGGUAUUGAUCAAAAAACCUGUGGACUUCAUGAAAUAGUUGAAGUAAUGCCACAAUCCAAUUUCACGGUCCUUGUAUAUGAGAGUGGACUUGUACAGUCUGCUACAGUAUAAGAAAUCACAUAUCUUGCCGUGAUAUUUUAAGGCAACCUACAUGAAAGACCGACAUCAAUAGUAGUGAGACAGUCUGCACGGCCCACUACUGCUUCGUUCAGCACUAUGGCCAUGGAAGCCCACACUCUACCAGUGACACCAUGCCCUAUUGACACCAUGCUUCAUAAACGUGCUACCAUUGUCCAUGGAUUAUGAAGGCCCUCCGCCAAUCCCAUCAUGGUGCAUCCUAAUUGCAGAGUUCAAGUGAGAUGAAAAAAGAUCAGGGCGUUGCAAAGGUCAGCACGGGAGUCGUCAACAACAGUGCACCCGUUUGAAUAAAACAAAUAAAAAAUCAAACGAGAGGGAUCCUGCCAUCAUCAAUUGGUGGACGGGGCAACCUACUGGCGCUGAGUAACGACCGUCGCCCGCAUACCCUAGCGGGAGGCAACGUUCGUUGCCAGAGGACGAGAGGUUUAGCACACUUGCAACUGCAAGUUAAUAAAUCCAACAGCAGUCGAUUCGUCCCAACCUACUAACACCGAAUCCACCUUGAAUGAUAGAGCAACAUGUGUAGAGUGAACGUAGACUGAAUUUAGACAGAAUGUAGUUGGACAUAGCAGACCUGGUUCGGCGAGGGCGAUCCAGGCGGCCGGAAUUGAAACCACCCUGCCCUGGAGACACGGCGGCGGUGACGGCGUCUCCCGGAGAUCGGCGGAGGCGAUCCCGGUGACAGGGAUUCAAGCCGCCCUGCCCUGGAUCUGCGGCGGCGUCGUCUUCCCUCGGACGGCGGCUUCUGCCCUACUUCUCAACCUCGGAUGGAGGCGGCGGCGACUCCCCUCGGCUGUGGCGGAGUCUCCCCUCAAUGGCGGCGGGGUCUACCCUCGGACGGCGGCGGCAACAAUGAUCGAUAUGCUGGAGAUCGGGGAUGGGAUCGAGAGGUUAUUUUUUC